RNA transcript from Carcharodon carcharias (great white shark), 3128 nucleotides. It is a transcript of the gene named zinc finger protein 208-like, with no coding region annotated. The record is from RefSeq and is a predicted model, not a curated record. Lineage: Eukaryota; Metazoa; Chordata; Chondrichthyes; Lamniformes; Lamnidae. The transcript is spliced from 25 exons.
GAUUGCUGUGAGGUUAAAAAAUCAAGAAAUUAUUAUUAUUUUUGUACAAAAAAGAGUAAAAAUCUACUUCUAUGUAGAAGAGGGAGAGAGAGAGAGAGAGAGAGAGAAGCAUUCGGGUUGAAGAUGGUGUGAAGGCUCGGGUUUGGCGGAAGGUGCUGUGGCUAUCAAAUACUACCCUUGAAAAAGACAAAAUAGGAAACAUUAAGAGACAAGACCAAGAAAAACAAAAUUCACAGCCAAGAGCCGAUGCUUGUUUCUCUACUGUAACUGUGCCAAUCGUGAGGAGCUGCCAAGGCUGUACUUGAAGAAAUGAAUUCUCGAGAGGCCCACCGAGCAAGGAGCCCGGAUACCCAUCCCAUCACUGGAGAAGAUUCUGUUGAAAGUAAUGAGAUUGCUUUUCUGGUGGGAGAAGAUGGACAACUGCAUUCCUUGCAAGAGGAGAGCCAUGAAGUUUGGCAUCCUGAGAACAGCCCUGAACAAAAAAAUGGGAUCGAAAGUAAUAGAAAUGAAUGUCACAUCUUUGCACCAACCAGCUCAUUACAGCAGCACAAUGAGAAGAAUGAUUUGCAGCAGACCUCCGAGAAUCUGAAUGGAGACCAACAGGUCCAGCCAUGUACUGCAGUUAAGCAAAAGAUACUGAUGAAAGAAUCAGGUCCAGCCCUGUGGUCAGGUGAUUGCAAAUUGCCUGCAGCUUGCCAUUACACUGCGUUACAGAAUUCCCCAAAAGAGGACAGUCCAAUUCAAAACCAUCACUCAGAUGACAUGGUUUGUAACAUUUGUGGUAAAAAGUACAAGUACAUGUCGAGCUUCUGGAAGCACAGAAGAGAUCAUGAAACAAAAGGAGAAUUUUUCACUGAUUUCAUCUCUAGACCUGCUGCUGCUAACAAAAAUACCACAGGAAUGGUGCAUUCUUCUGCUGCCUGUAUAAAAACUUUGAUUUCACAAAAACUCUUUGAUAGAUCUGGAAAACUGUGUCCUCAAAAGGAACUUAAUCCAGUGUCAGAGCCCAAGCCAAUUAUGAUGAAGAUGGAAAAAACUAGUCCCUCCAAUUCAUGGCAAGAGAAAUUUCACAACAAAGGAUGCGGCUCAGAGCCAGGAUCCAGGCCAUCAGUUAUAAAGACAGAGGAAGCUAUUCCAUAUUGUAUAGCAGAAAAAGUUUCAAAUUUCAACAUUACCUCAAGCAAUCCUACCCCUGCAUUGCAACCAAGACCACUCCCAGAUUAUUUUUUCUCAUGUGAAAUUUGUGGGAAGAAAUACAAAUACAAGUCCAGUUUCUGGAAACACAUUGAAGACCAUAAAAACUAUGUUGUUGAUAGUACUGUUUCUGAUCAAGGCUGGAAUCUAAUAGCUGGAUCACAGCUGGCUGAAAAACAAGCUUAUAAUGGUGAACAGUCAGUUAGAAAAGUUAUAAUUGACAUCCAACAUCAUAAUUUGCUGCCCAUUAGAGAUGACAAACAGCAGGUGCUAACUGCAAACAAAGGACAAAGAACUCUUUAUUUUGAUCACAAGCAUAGGCUUUACAACGAUCCCAUUCAUGACCCAGACUUGUCCAUAGGGCAGUUCAAUACCUGUCAGUUGUGUGGAGCAAACUUUUCACGAAAGAGUGGCCUGGUGGACCACAUUCAGUUUGUGCAUCAGAGGUAUAGGCCCCAUGUAUGCACACUAUGUGAUCAGAAGUUCCGUCGACCAUCAGAACUCAAAAGACAUGUUCAACGGCGUCACAACAAUUGCUUAUCUGACAUCCAGAUUAGCAAUGUUACAUUUCUGGAAAGAGCCUGCACUGUAGAAAAUGGGCUGCUAGGAUUACCAGAAGCAUCUCACAAAAGAACAACCAAUGUGAAUGAGACGGCUGGAGAUACGCCUGUGAAAGCUUUGUCCCAUGAUAACUUACCUAAGAUUCAGAUAAGUAAUGUUACAUCUUUAGUCAAAUCCUACAUUGAUGAAAGUGGUGAGCAGAAAUUAUCAGAUGAAGUGAAACUUGUCCGUGGUGCUGGCUAUCAGGUUCAAACUAGCAGAAUUACGCCUGUGAAAAAGAAAAAGGCAUUCAAAAAGCCCAAGAGAGUGCACAGUUGCAGUCUUUGUGGGAAUAAGUACUUGUAUUAUUCUAUUCUUUGGAAACACAAGCUUAUGCAUGGAGGAAGAAAGAAACAUUUCUGCCUACUGUGUGGAUCAGGCUUUUUCAGGUCAAAGGAUUUGGAUAUUCACUUCAAAUCAGAACAUCUUCAGACCUUUAAGUUUAAGUGCCCGCACUGCGAAAAAGGUUUCAACCGACUUAUUGAUGUUCAAAAGCACAUAAUUGUUAGGCAUACAGAUUUGGAGAACUUUAUUUGUCGAAUAUGUAACACAAACACAGAGACAGCUUCAGAACUGCAGAAUCACAUCAAAAAGUUCCACUCCCCAAAAGGUCCCUUGCACUCAUUGUGAUUUUCUAUUGGAAAACAAAUUGCAACUUCAGACACAUGGGAAAACAUUGAUUACAAUGUUAACACUGGAUUCCUCUAAGCAUUCCAUCAAAAUGAGGUUGAUGCAAUCGAGAGCAUCCAGCAAAACGAGAAAGGAUGACCUCAGUUGUUUUUUCUUGGAUAAAUAAUGAAGGGACAUGACCCCGUUUAUUGAAAUAAGGAACAUAAUUUAUGUGGAUGGAAGCAGCUGUUUGACAUAGACUAAGUGCAGAGCUAAAGAACAAAAAUGCAAAAUUAAACAAGCUUCAACUGAGCUGGAGAUCAAUACACAACAGAAUUGCAGCAAAAAGCUGAUGGUCAUGUGAAGCAACUCAUGGAUAAAAAGCUGGAUAAACACAUCAUUGGGAACAGGAUACAAGAUAUAGUAGCUACUGAAAUUAGUCAAAGACUGCACAGAGCAGAGUGAUUUUUAAAUGCAGGGGUGACGUAGUUUGGAAAAGUCAUCUGUUGAGGUCACCACUGAGACUGGAUGGGAACUAAGAAGUAUUCUUGUAUUUUGCUGGAUUACUUUAAGCACAAGAUACUGAUGGACCUAUUGUGUAUUUCUGGCAUUUUGUUUUCCUUUCAAAUUUCCAGUAGUUGUAAUUUUGUAAAAAAAAAUGAAAAUGUUUUAAUUUUUGUAGUUUCUUAGUUUCAUGUUUUACUUCAAUAAAAACUAAACCAAAA